This is a non-coding RNA of Camelina sativa (false flax), 237 nucleotides long. Lineage: Eukaryota; Viridiplantae; Streptophyta; Magnoliopsida; Brassicales; Brassicaceae. The record is from RefSeq and is a predicted model, not a curated record.
GUUUCUAAAUUCUCUGAUUCUCAUAUGAAAUUGAGCGGCGAGGCCCAGCACGGUGAAGGGAGUAAGAUCCAGAUACCUAAAACAGUUCCUCUCAGUGAAUUACCUAUCGUCGUCGGAGAUUCCCAGAUCAAGCAUCUCUUGGAACAGUUCUCGAUGAUAAAGAUGAAUGAAUCCUGGGGAACAACAGGAUGCGCUACUGUGUUUGUGGAAGUCGAAGAAGGAGUCACUGUUCUUCAC